GACGAACGCUGGCGGCGUGCUUAACACAUGCAAGUCGAACGGAAAGGCCCUGCUUGCAGGGUACUCGAGUGGCGAACGGGUGAGUAACACGUGGGUGAUCUGCCCUGCACUUCGGGAUAAGCUUGGGAAACUGGGUCUAAUACCGGAUAGGACCGCACUUUAGUGUGUGUGGUGGAAAGUUUUUUCGGUGUAGGAUGAGCUCGCGGCCUAUCAGCUUGUUGGUGGGGUAAUGGCCUACCAAGGCGGCGACGGGUAGCCGGCCUGAGAGGGUGUACGGCCACAUUGGGACUGAGAUACGGCCCAGACGCCGACGGGAGGCAGCAGUGGGGAAUAUUGCACAAUGGGCGCAAGCCUGAUGCAGCGACGCCGCGUGGGGGAUGAAGGCCUUCGGGUUGUAAACUCCUUUCGCUAGGGACGAAGCUUUUUGUGACGGUACCUAGAUAAGAAGCACCGGCUAACUACGUG
RNAcentral lists this ribosomal RNA (465 nucleotides) under uncultured bacterium. RNAcentral describes it as "partial 16S ribosomal RNA". It matches the Rfam family "Bacterial small subunit ribosomal RNA", at positions 28 to 507 of the family's 1533-position model. The record is from RNAcentral.